Molecule: transfer RNA, 72 nt
Filed under: Cavia porcellus (domestic guinea pig)
Lineage: Eukaryota; Metazoa; Chordata; Mammalia; Rodentia; Caviidae
Rfam family: tRNA
About the family: Transfer RNA (tRNA) molecules are approximately 80 nucleotides in length. Their secondary structure includes four short double-helical elements and three loops (D, anti-codon, and T loops).
Source: Rfam by way of RNAcentral
UGGGAUAUUGCUCAGUGGUAGAGAAUUUGCCUACUAUACAAAAGGCCCUGGGUUUGAUUCCCAGUACUGCAA